RNAcentral lists this ribosomal RNA (1354 nucleotides) under uncultured bacterium. RNAcentral describes it as "partial 16S ribosomal RNA". It matches the Rfam family "Bacterial small subunit ribosomal RNA", at positions 46 to 1401 of the family's 1533-position model. The record is from RNAcentral.
GCCUAACACAUGCAAGUCGAGGGGUAACAGGGGCUUCGGCCCGCUGACGACCGGCGCACGGGUGAGUAACGCGUAUGCAACCUGCCUGUAACAGCGGGAUAGCUCCCUGAAAGGGGAAUUAACACCGCAUAAGACCACGCUCUCGCAUGGGGACGGGGUAAAAUAUUUAUAGGUUACAGAUGGGCAUGCGUGACAUUAGUUAGUUGGUGAGGUAACGGCUCACCAAGACUGCGAUGUCUAGGGGUUUUGAGAGGAAGGCCCCCCACACUGGGACUGAGACACGGCCCAGACUCCUACGGGAGGCAGCAGUGAGGAAUAUUGGACAAUGGAUGGAAAUCUGAUCCAGCCAUGCCGCGUGCAGGAAGACGGCCUUAUGGGUUGUAAACUGCUUUUAUACGGGAGCAAUAAGGGUUACGAGUAAUCCGAUGAGAGUACUGUAUGAAUAAGGAUCGGCUAACUCCGUGCCAGCAGCCGCGGUAAUACGGAGGAUCCGAGCGUUAUCCGGAAUUAUUGGGUUUAAAGGGUGCGUAGGCGGCCAUUUAAGUCAGCGGUGAAAUUUUGCAGCUUAACUGUAACAGUGCCGUUGAUACUGUUUGGCUAGGAUUUGGUUGUAGUGUGCGGAAUGUGUGGUGUAGCGGUGAAAUGCUUAGAUAUCACACAGAACACCGAUUGCGAAGGCAGCACACUAAGUCAUUAUUGACGCUGAGGCACGAAAGUGUGGGGAUCAAACAGGAUUAGAUACCCUGGUAGUCCACACUGUAAACGAUGAUAACUCGCUGUCGGCGAUACACAGUCGGUGGCCAAGCGAAAGCAUUAAGUUAUCCACCUGGGGAGUACGACCGCAAGGUUGAAACUCAAAGGAAUUGACGGGGGCCCGCACAAGCGGAGGAACAUGUGGUUUAAUUCGAUGAUACGCGAGGAACCUUACCCGGGCUCGAACGGUGCAUGAAUAUACGAGAGAUUGUAUAGUCCUUCGGGACAUGUAUCGAGGUGCUGCAUGGUUGUCGUCAGCUCGUGCCGUGAGGUGUCGGCUUAAGUGCCAUAACGAGCGCAACCCUUGUCAUUAGUUGCCUUCAGGUCAAGCUGGGGACUUUAAUGAGACUGCCACCGUAAGGUGUGAGGAAGGGGGGGAUGACGUCAAAUCAGCACGGCCCUUAUGUCCGGGGCGACACACGUGUUACAAUGGGAGGUACAGAGGGCAGCUAUCCGGUGACGGAAUGCUAAUCUCCAAAACCUUUCUCAGUUCGGAUUGGAGUCUGCAACUCGACUCCAUGAAGGUGGAUUCGCUAGUAAUCGCGCAUCAGCCAUGGCGCGGUGAAUACGUUCCCGGGCCUUGUACUCACCGCCCGUCAAG